GCAUAUCAAUAAGCGGAGGAAAAGAAACUAACAAGGAUUCCCCUAGUAACUGCGAGUGAAGCGGGAAGAGCUCAAAUUUAAAAUCUGGCGGUCUUUGGCUGUCCGAGUUGUAAUUUAGAGAAGCGUCUUCCGCGCCGGACCGUGCACAAGUCUCCUGGAAUGGAGCGUCAUAGAGGGUGAGAAUCCCGUCUUUGGCACGGACCCCCCGGGGCUUCUGUGAUGCGCUCUCGAAGAGUCGAGUUGUUUGGGAAUGCAGCUCAAAAUGGGUGGUGAACUCCAUCUAAAGCUAAAUAUUGGCGAGAGACCGAUAGCGAACAAGUACCGUGAGGGAAAGAUGAAAAGCACUUUGGAAAGAGAGUGAAACAGUACGUGAAAUUGUUGAAAGGGAAACGCUUGGAGUCAGUCGUGUCGGCCGAGACUCAGCCUCGCCUUGGCUUGGCGUACUUCUCGACCGACGGGCCAGCAUCAAUUUUGUCUCUCGGAUAAUGGCAAGGGAAAGGUGGCACCCUUUUUGGGUGUGUUAUAGUCUCCUGUCGAAUGCGAGGGGUGGGAUUGAGGGACUCAGCACGCGCCCACUCGGCGUCGGGGCUUCGGCCCACGUUUACGUGCUUAGGAUG
This 617-nucleotide ribosomal RNA is filed under the name Lactifluus nodosicystidiosus. Its description in RNAcentral is "eukaryotic LSU rRNA". It matches the Rfam family "Eukaryotic large subunit ribosomal RNA", at positions 38 to 625 of the family's 3401-position model. The record is from RNAcentral. Lineage: Eukaryota; Fungi; Basidiomycota; Agaricomycetes; Russulales; Russulaceae.